Molecule: ribosomal RNA, 572 nt
Filed under: Bloxamia discedens
Lineage: Eukaryota; Fungi; Ascomycota; Leotiomycetes; Helotiales; Bloxamiaceae
Description: Bisporella discedens partial 28S ribosomal RNA
Rfam family: Eukaryotic large subunit ribosomal RNA
Source: RNAcentral
AAACCAACAGGGAUUGCCUCAGUAACGGCGAGUGAAGCGGCAACAGCUCAAAUUUGAAAUCUGGCUCUUUCAGGGUCCGAGUUGUAAUUUGUAGAAGAUGCUUUGGGUGUGGCUCCGGUCUAAGUUCCUUGGAACAGGACGUCGUAGAGGGUGAGAAUCCCGUAUGUGACCGGCUGCCUCCGCCUGUGUAAAGCUCUUUCGACGAGUCGAGUUGUUUGGGAAUGCAGCUCAAAAUGGGUGGUAAAUUUCAUCUAAAGCUAAAUAUUGGCCAGAGACCGAUAGCGCACAAGUAGAGUGAUCGAAAGAUGAAAAGCACUUUGGAAAGAGAGUUAAACAGUACGUGAAAUUGUUGAAAGGGAAGCGCUUGCAAUCAGACUUGCGCGCGGCCGAUCAUCCGAGGUUCUCCCCGGUGCACUCGACCGCGCUCAGGCCAGCAUCGGUUUCGGUGGUGGGAUAAAGGCCGUGGGAAUGUGGCUCCUCUCGGGGAGUGUUAUAGCCCAUGGUGCAAUGCCGCCUACCGGGACCGAGGACCGCGCUUCGGCUAGGAUGCUGGCGUAAUGGUUGUAAGCGAC